ACUCCUACGGGAGGCAGCAGUGGGGAAUAUUGGACAAUGGGCGCAAGCCUGAUCCAGCCAUGACGCGUGAGUGAUGAAGGCCCUAGGGUUGUAAAGCUCUUCCACCGGUGAAGAUAAUGACGGUAACCGGAGAAGAAGCCCCGGCUAACUUCGUGCCAGCAGCCGCGGUAAUACGAAGGGGGCUAGCGUUGUUCGGAUUUACUGGGCGUAAAGCGCACGUAGGCGGACUAUUAAGUCAGGGGUGAAAUCCCGGGGCUCAACCCCGGAACUGCCUUUGAUACUGGUAGUCUUGAGUUCGAGAGAGGUGAGUGGAAUUCCGAGUGUAGAGGUGAAAUUCGUAGAUAUUCGGAGGAACACCAGUGGCGAAGGCGGCUCACUGGCUCGAUACUGACGCUGAGGUGCGAAAGCGUGGGGAGCAAACAGGAUUAGAUACCCCUGUAGUCCC
RNAcentral lists this ribosomal RNA (445 nucleotides) under uncultured organism. RNAcentral's name for it is "partial 16S ribosomal RNA". It matches the Rfam family "Bacterial small subunit ribosomal RNA", at positions 335 to 797 of the family's 1533-position model. The record is from RNAcentral.